AUACAGAGGGUGCGAGCGUUAAUCGGAAUUACUGGGCGUAAAGCGCGCGUAGGCGGCUUGGUCAGUCGGAUGUGAAAGCCCCGGGCUCAACCUGGGAAUGGCAUUCGAUACUGCCAGGCUAGAGUAUGGGAGAGGGAAGUGGAAUUUCCGGUGUAGCGGUGAAAUGCGUAGAUAUCAGAAAGAACACCAGUGGCGAAGGCGACUUCCUGGCCCAAUACUGACGCUGAGGUGCGAAAGCGUGGGGAGCGAACAGGAUUAGAAACCCUAGUAGUCC
This 274-nucleotide ribosomal RNA is filed under the name uncultured bacterium. Its description in RNAcentral is "partial 16S ribosomal RNA". It matches the Rfam family "Bacterial small subunit ribosomal RNA", at positions 523 to 796 of the family's 1533-position model. The record is from RNAcentral.